UAUUCUAAGCUCUGACCCUCUCCAUCACUUAAAUGUAAGGAUGAACAAUACUGAGACUUCUUGUGUGCUUGGAAGGGCACUAGGAGUUUUACAUACAUUCUUUCACUUAGUUCUUACAGAAAAAAAAUGAACCAGUUACUUCACGUUAUGCCCAUGUAUCAGGUAGUAUUUGGUGCAGCUGCUUACACAGAAUGCCCUGAACAAUAUUAGCUUAGAUAAGAUAGAAGGGUUUUUUUUUUCUCCCCAACUGGAGGCUUUUUAUUUAAAAAGAAAAAAAAAAUAGAGUUUUUCUCCUAUGUGAAAAACAAAACGUCUGGAGGUGGGCCCGGCCACUGUUGUUUCGGUGGCUCCACAGUGUCAUCAAGACGUCUACCUUUCUCCGUCACCAUUCUUGGCAUGUAACUUCAAGGUUACUUCUUGGUCCAAGAUAGCAGCAGUAGCUGCAGUCAUCACAUCUCUGUUUCAGGUAGCAGAAAGCAGGAAGGGAUAGUAAAAGGGUCAUCUUCUUUUGCUCGUAGAAAUCUCAAUACUUCUGCUUACAUUUCAUUGGUCAGAACUCACAUGUUAUGUAUUCAUAUCUAGCUGCAAAGAGAGGCUGGGAAAUGCAGUCUUAUUGUUUCCCAGUCACAAUGUAACACAGGUAAAUAUUUGAGUUCUGUCAUAAGACAAAAAAUGAGAGUAUAGAGAGUAUAUAUUAGAGUAGAUACCACCAGUUUCUUCACAUUACCUUUGACCAAUGAGGAAGCAGGGUACACAGAGUUUAAAAAACUAGCCCUUUACUUUUAUUUAUUUUUUAUUUCAACAGCUUUUGGGGAACAGGUGGUUUUGGGUAACAUGGCUAAGUUCUUUAGUGGUGAUUUCUGAGAUUUUGGUGCACUCAUCACCCAAGCAGUGUACACUGUACCCAAUAUGUAGUCUUUUAAUCACUCACUCCCCUCCCCGCACCCUGAGUCCCUGAAGUCCAUUGUAUCAUUCUUUUGCCUUUGCAUCCUCAUAGCUUAGCUCCCACUUAGAAAUGAGAACAUAUGAUAUUUGGUUUUCCAUUCCUCAGUUACUUCACUUAGAAUAAUAGUCUCCAGCUCCAUCCAGGUUGCAGCAAAUGCCAUUAUUUGGUUCUGUUUUAUGGCUGAGUAGUAUUCCAUGGUGUAUGUAUACCACAUUUUCUUUAUCCACUCACUGACAACCAGCCUUUUAGAGAUAUGCUUGGUGGCUGAGGCAGGUGUGGCCCCGGGCAGCCUGCAUCCAGAGCCUGUGCUCUUACAUGUUGUGCCAUUUGUCCUCCCUGGCGUUCCCUUGCUGCUGCUUUUCCCUUCUUAUCAGAAGCUUCAUGCAGUCUCCUUGGCUCUAAAUUUAGUUCUCCCUCUCUAUCAGGAAAGCCUUAUUGAGGCUUCAUGUUCAACCACCUCCAAAAGGCAGGAAAAUUGAGCAGGACUACGAGCCCACAGUGUGACUGACCUUCAGCCAGGGUCCUCCUGUCACCUGCGGAAGGUACAGUACACCUGUGGAGUCUCCUCUGGCCCCCAGGCUCAGUCCUCAUUCCAGAUAUCCUUGGUCCCUCCCCAGUUCCUCAUCCCUUAGUUCCCUCCAUGGUGUUCCCAAAAACUGCACAGUGCUCUCAAUUCUGGUCCUGGCCACAUCCUGGAAUAAAUUGUUGCCUCUCUUCUUGAGGUGUUCUUAUUUGAGAAGAUGAAGGGAUAAUUUUUCUGACUAAAAUUUUAGGUGGCAGGGUUUCCCCCGCUUUUUGUAAGUUGAGAAUGCUUCUCAAAUUAAGCCCUUAAAAUCACAUUACAAAGGACUCCUAGUCAGGUUGGUUUGUCAUUAACGCUACUGCCAGGAGCUGUCUCUUCCUGUCAAUUCAGUGUGGUCUAAGAGCUAGACACGCAGAAUGUGUUAGGGAACUGGCAGCAUCUGCAUUACCUGGGAGUUACUAGGAAUGUAGGAUCUCAGCACCCCACACCGGGCUCCCUCCCUCCCACCUCCUCCUGGACCUACUGAACCAGAAUCUGCAGUUUAACAGGGUCCCCAGGUGAUUUUUAUAUACAUCACAGGCUUGCAAAAUACCCAGAAAAUCUGGGCGGUUGGAUUUCUAAUGAGUCAUUAUGAACUAAAAAAAUUCACCUAAGAGUAUGCAUAUUAAAUUCAUUGUUUGUUUUAGAAGAAACUGAAUUGAGAAAAAGAGAGCAAAUAAAAAUUAGGUACUGAAAUUUAAAAAUUGCUGUUUAUGGUACAGCCUUGGUCCUCAUGAUCUUUCCAGUGUAUUAUGCAAAUGUCAGCAGUUCAUUGACUGAUUGAUAUAUUAGGAUGCAGAACCAGAAGAGAGUAGAUAGAAAUUCUCAUGCUUACAUUUCACCUUAAGAUUCCCUUGUAAAAUUGCUCAAAUCAGUGCACUUAAGUCUCCAAAUGGCUUUUGCAAACCAGAUAAGCUUGGCAUUUGGGGUUCACGUAAUUGGCCAGUUUUGCUAGGAGACUUCCAAAAGCACCGUUGUCUAAACAACUAUUUUAGUUUAAGGAUACAAUCUAGAUUUAAAAGCCAACAUGUGACUCACUUUAAGAUUGUUAAAAGCUCAGAGGACAGAGCUGUUGUACUUGCGAACUUGUUAUUUUUGUAUCCUAUCAUGGAUUUCAGACACCUGAGAGAACAAGAGAGCUAUUUAUUUCUAUGAGCCCAGGCUUAAAUUGUGGAGAGCCUCAGAGAAUUUCAUUUGACACUUUAAAAAUACUUCCCCCACCCCAGAUCCUUCAUGAACUGAGAGGCUCAUACGGAGGUUUUAUACUUAGGCAGGCAGCAGGAUGUAGUGGUUAAAAGCAUGGGCUGUAGAAUCUGACCAUCUGGGUUUAAACCCAACUUUUAUCAACUCUGCAAGGUGGGGAAACCGUCUCUAGGGCUGUCGUGAUAAUUGAGUGAAUAAAGAUUCACCCAGGUGGUGGCUGCCCUGUCGUAAGCACUGUGUAAGCAUUUGCUGUUACUACAUCUUCCUACAAUACCUAAACGUCUGGCUCCCUCUUUCAUUUUGUACAUGAGGACAUGGAGAAGGAGAGUUUCAAGGUCUGUCUGCUGCCUGGCCUGGCGGGGACCCUUCCUUGCCAGCACCCCCUGUUCUCCCAGGGCAGCUCUGUGCUGAGUCAGCACCCACCCAGCAGCUGUGUGGGAAUUCUUUCCCUACCACUCCAUUUCACACAAAUGUCCUUGGGUCCCCAGGUAGGGCCAAUGACAAGAACAGAAUCUGAGGUUGAUUCAGGUCCUGUUUGAACAUUGACAUCCCUCCUCCCCCUCUGCUUACCUGGAGCUAUUUUCACCUUUUCACCCUGGGCGGGUGGUGUAUGGUCUGGGAUGUUGCUGGAAACCCAGCUGGUCUGUGACGUCUGAGAGACAAGGACGGCUACCUCAGCUGUCAUUAACAGCAGAACACUUCUAAUUGACUAGAUUCAAAACUACUCCUUCCCCAGGGUUUUGAUAAUUCCUCCCACCAAUUAUAGCACUUUACUCAGAUUAACUAAUUAAUCCUCACCAUAUACCCCAGAGACAAAAUUAAAGAUAAUUCUUUCAUAACUGUAAAGCACCUUUUAUCUAAGGAUUACUAACACUGAUGCAUUUGUCUCCCAUGACAACAUCACAAGUUUCAGAGAUGACAAGGAAAAUCUUCAUUACCAUUUCAAGAACUGGGAACAAAGAAAAAUCCCGUUCCAGGACGCAAAGGAGGAGAUGCGGGUAGCUGAACAGAAACUUUUGAAGAUUACCAUGGGAAUACACCUGUGAACUUCCAGGUUUGAUCUCAGUUACUCCCUUACUUGAAGAAGGCUUCGAUGAUUCCUCAUGGAGAAAUCCCAGAUACUUCUGCACAUGAUUCAGAGGUCCCUUACAACUGGCUUCAGCCUGCCUUCCAAGCCCUGUCUCUCGCCUCUCCCUUCCUUCACACUGUGCUUCAGCGAGAUGCUGUGUUUUUUGCAAAUGGACGGUUUGGGCAACUCUUUGUGGAGCAAGUCUAUCGGUGCCAUUUUCCCAACAACAUGGAUUCACUUCAUGUCUCUGAGUCACAUUUUGGCUGGAGUGUGGUGGCGUGAUCUUGGUUCACUGCAACCU
This is a long non-coding RNA of Homo sapiens (human), 4081 nucleotides long. RefSeq lists it as uncharacterized. The transcript has 4 exons. NCBI's taxonomy places the organism in Eukaryota, Metazoa, Chordata, Mammalia, Primates, Hominidae. The record is from RefSeq and is a predicted model, not a curated record.